GUGGGGAAUCUUCCGCAAUGGACGAAAGUCUGACGGAGCAACGCCGCGUGAGUGAUGAAGGUCUUCGGAUUGUAAAGCUCUGUUAAUCGGGACGAAAGAGCCUAGUGUGAAUAAUGCUAGGAAGUGACGGUACCGGAAUAGAAAGCCACGGCUAACUACGUGCCAGCAGCCGCGGUAAUACGUAGGUGGCAAGCGUUGUCCGGAAUUAUUGGGCGUAAAGCGCGCGCAGGUGGAUCUGCCAGUCUGUCUUAAAAGUUCGGGGCUUAACCCCGUGAUGGGAUGGAAACUACAGAUCUAGAGUAUCGGAGAGGAAAGUGGAAUUCCUAGUGUAGCGGUGAAAUGCGUAGAUAUUAGGAAGAACACCAGUGGCGAAGGCGACUUUCUGGACGAAAACUGACGCUGAGGCGCGAAAGCCAGGGGAGCGAACGGGAUUAGAAACCUUUGUAGUCC
RNAcentral lists this ribosomal RNA (450 nucleotides) under uncultured bacterium. RNAcentral's name for it is "partial 16S ribosomal RNA". It matches the Rfam family "Bacterial small subunit ribosomal RNA", at positions 354 to 796 of the family's 1533-position model. The record is from RNAcentral.